Molecule: ribosomal RNA, 253 nt
Filed under: uncultured bacterium
Lineage: Bacteria
Description: partial 16S ribosomal RNA
Rfam family: Bacterial small subunit ribosomal RNA
Source: RNAcentral
UACGUAGGGUGCGAGCGUUGUCCGGAAUUAUUGGGCGUAAAGAGCUCGUAGGCGGCUUGACACGUCGGAUGUGAAAGCCCGGGGCUUAACCCCGGGUCUGCAUUCGAUACGGGCAGGCUAGAGUUCGGUAGGGGAGAUCGGAAUUCCUGGUGUAGCGGUGAAAUGCGCAGAUAUCAGGAGGAACACCGGUGGCGAAGGCGGAUCUCUGGGCCGAUACUGACGCUGAGGAGCGAAAGCGUGGGGAGCGAACAGG